GGCCUCUGAAAUGGCUGCUUCAGGGCAGCUGUCUUUUAUGGUCGCAGCUGUGGGGAUGAAAUAAGCCCCAGUUUCUCAGAGUGCUCCCAGGCUUAUUAGGACGAGGAAAUUCCUGCCUAAUAAAUUUUGGUCAGACCAGUUGUCUGCUCUCAAACCCUGUCUCCUGAUAAGAUGUUAUCAAUGACAAUGCAUGCCCGAAACUUCAUUAGCAAUUUUAAUUUCACCCCAGUCCUGUGGUCCUGUGAUCUCGCCCUGCCUCCAUUUACCUUGUGAUAUCUUAUUACCUUGUGAAGCAUGGGAUCUCUGUGACCCAUACCCUAUUUGUACACUCCCUCCCCUUUUGAAAAUCACUAAUAAAAAAUUUGCUGGUUUUAUGGCUCAGGGGGCAUCACAGAACCUGCCAACAUGUGAUGUCUGCCCUGGACACCCAGCUUUAAAAUUUCUCUCUUUUGUACUCUGUCCCUUUAUUUCUCAAACCGGCC
Molecule: long non-coding RNA, 482 nt
Filed under: Homo sapiens (human)
Lineage: Eukaryota; Metazoa; Chordata; Mammalia; Primates; Hominidae
Description: LHRI_LNC2114.1
Source: RNAcentral